AUCUCAGUAGCAUAGUGGUUAGUGCACAGCCGCGGAUAAGUUGAGACGCGGGUUCGAAUCCCACCUGCGAUU
RNAcentral lists this transfer RNA (72 nucleotides) under Nippostrongylus brasiliensis. It matches the Rfam family "tRNA". Rfam says of the family: Transfer RNA (tRNA) molecules are approximately 80 nucleotides in length. Their secondary structure includes four short double-helical elements and three loops (D, anti-codon, and T loops). Further hydrogen bonds mediate the characteristic L-shaped molecular structure. tRNAs have two regions of fundamental functional importance: the anti-codon, which is responsible for specific mRNA codon recognition, and the 3' end, to which the tRNAs corresponding amino acid is attached (by aminoacyl-tRNA synthetases). tRNAs cope with the degeneracy of the genetic code in two manners: having more than one tRNA (with a specific anti-codon) for a particular amino acid; and 'wobble' base-pairing, i.e. permitting non-standard base-pairing at the 3rd anti-codon position. Lineage: Eukaryota; Metazoa; Nematoda; Chromadorea; Rhabditida; Heligmosomidae. The record is from Rfam by way of RNAcentral.